AGGGUUUGAUCAUGGCUCAGGACGAACGCUGGCGGCGUGCCUAAUACAUGCAAGUCGAGCGGACAGAAGGGAGCUUGCUCCCGGAUGUUAGCGGCGGACGGGUGAGUCACACGUGGGUAACCUGCCUGUAAGACUGGGAUAACUCCGGGAAACCGGAGCUAAUACCGGAUAGUUCCUUGAACCGCAUGGUUCCAGGAUGAAAGACGGUUUCGGCUGUCACUUACAGAUGGACCCGCGGCGCAUUAGCUAGUUGGUGAGGUACUGGCUCACCAAGGCGACGAUGCGUAGCCGACCUGAGAGGGUGAUCGGCCACACUGGGACUGAGACACGGCCCAGACUCCUACGGGAGGCAGCAGUAGGGAAUCUUCCGCAAUGGACGAAAGUCUGACGGAGCAAGGCCGCGUGAGUGAAGAAGGUUUUCGGAUCGUAAAGCUCUGUUGUUAGGGAUGAACAAGUGCGAGAGUAACUGCUCGCACCUUGACGGUACCUAACCAGAAAGCCACGGCUAACUACGUGCCAGCAGCCGCGGUAAUACGUAGGUGGCAAGCGUUGUCCGGAAUUAUUGGGCGUAAAGGGCUCGCAGGCGGUUUCUUAAGUCUGAUGGGAAAUCCCCCGGCUCAACCGGGGGGGGUCAUUGGAAACUGGGAAACUUGAGUGCAGAAGAGGAGAGUGGAAUUCCACGUGUAGCAGUGAAAUGCGUAGAGAUGUGGAGGAACACCAGUGGCGAAGGCGACUCGCUGGUCUGUAACUGGCGAAAGCGUGGGGAGCGAACAGGAUUAGAUACCCUGGUAGUCCACGCCGUACACGAUGAGUGCUAAGUGUUAGGGGGUUUCGCCCCUUAGUGCUGCAGCUAACGCAUUAAGCACUCCGCCUGGGGAGUACGAUCGCAAGACUGAAACUCAAAUGAAUUGACGGGGGCCCGCACAAGCGGUGGAGCAUGUGUUUUAAUUCGAAGCAACGCGAAGAACCUUACCAGGUCUUGACAUCCUCUGACAACCCUAGAGAUAGGGCUUUCCCUUCGGGGACAGAGUGACAGGUGGUGCAUGGUUGUCGUCAGCUCGUGUCGAGAGAUGUUGGGUUAAGUCCCGCAACGAGCGCAACCCUUGAUCUUAGUUGCCAGCAUUCAGUUGGGCACUCUAAGGUGACUGCCGGUGACAAACCGCAGGAAGGU
This 1171-nucleotide ribosomal RNA is filed under the name Bacillus sp. (in: firmicutes). Its description in RNAcentral is "bacterial SSU rRNA". It matches the Rfam family "Bacterial small subunit ribosomal RNA", at positions 8 to 1174 of the family's 1533-position model. Lineage: Bacteria; Bacillati; Bacillota; Bacilli; Caryophanales; Bacillaceae. The record is from RNAcentral.